Molecule: long non-coding RNA, 1219 nt
Organism: Lynx canadensis (Canada lynx)
Lineage: Eukaryota; Metazoa; Chordata; Mammalia; Carnivora; Felidae
Exons: 4
Source: RefSeq, a predicted model, not a curated record
UGCAGAGCUGAGAGCUGGUCUGAUAUCCUAAGAGGUAAAUGCUCUGACUAAAAGGGACCAAUCAAGACACCUUCCAGAGAGGAGGCAGAAACAAAGAGUGAACUCAGGUGCAGAGGUGGACUCCUGUACAGAGGGCCCAAGAUUUUUAACAGACUCUUUUUUGCAAGGCUGGACUGGAAAGGCAGGUAGGCAAGUCAUAGAGUACCCUGCCAGAUAAAGAUUCAUCAAAAGCUGAGGUGCUGAAUGAGGACAAAGGAAACAUGGAAUGUAUGGUGUAAGAAGGAAAUUAUUAAGUCAACUCUGGAUAUGUGAUCAGCAUCAGAAAGGAGAACUUUGGAGUUAUGCAUAUUUUCUUCCUUGCUUUUAUGUACUUUACAUGUUUACCUAUCCUUUCCUCUCACUUUCCCAGUCUGCGAUUUCUAAUAUAUGUUAAUUGUAGGUUAACCUAUAAUUCAGGGCUUAAAUUACAAGAUACUAAUGGAAAUUUUGUCUGAGUCUUAAAAUGAAGGGCAUUAUUGAAAGAUGAAAGGACAUAUAGGGUUUUGUGUCUACUUUUUGGGCAAAGAGUGAGCAAAAGUUGAUGAUUGUAUGAUAUAUAACUGCACUGUGACAGGUCAAAAUGAUGCUAAUACUUUAUUUGAAGGUUAAAGUGGGCAAAAUAGGCAUGUAGGAAUGGAUGCUGGGUUGACAAAUGGUGUCAUCUGUCUGUAGUACCGGACUGUCUAUUGUCAACUUGGUACCAAUAUCACACCCUUCUGAGGUCUUUUUUGCAGAGGAAAAUCCAAUGUCUGCAUUUCCCAGGAUCUUUUUUCGUAUAUAAUUUUAGUUUAGCAUUUUCCACUUACAUAGAUUUGGGAGACAAAAGAGAAGAAGUCACUAUUCUCUGGAGAUCAUUGCUACCAGAUCUGUGAAUAAAUGUGAGAUCUGCAGGCGUUUUCCGCUAUUCAAAAUGCACUGGGCACUGUGCAUACUACUGCACCAUCUGUUGGGGGAAACUGAAGAGGAACAGAUACAUUGCCCUACACCUUGAUAAGCACCUGCAACAUGUGCAUGUGCGGGCUGCUGGAGGAGUGCACUAGAGGAGCUUUCAUUCUUACCACUGUGUGGGUGGGCGAGGAAGAACAGGUGUGAGCAUUUGCCAACAGAGGCACCCAUAGAGCCCCCAGGUGUUCAUGCUCCUGCUUAAUGUCGGGGCCAAGGAGAGGCCUUUUGGGAUUUU